RNAcentral lists this ribosomal RNA (848 nucleotides) under uncultured marine bacterium. RNAcentral's name for it is "bacterial SSU rRNA". It matches the Rfam family "Bacterial small subunit ribosomal RNA", at positions 56 to 949 of the family's 1533-position model. The record is from RNAcentral.
UGCAAGUCGAACGAACCUUCGGGUUAGUGGCGGACGGGUGAGUAACGCGUGGGAAUCUGCCCUCAGGAGGGGGAUAACGGUUGGAAACGACCGCUAAUACCCCAUAUGCCGAUAGGUGAAAUGAAUUUCGCCUGAGGAUGAGCCCGCGUCUGAUUAGCUAGUUGGUAAGGUAAAGGCUUACCAAGGCUUCGAUCAGUAGCUGGUCUGAGAGGAUGAUCAGCCACACUGGGACUGAGACACGGCCCAGACUCCUACGGGAGGCAGCAGUGGGGAAUUUUCCGCAAUGGGCGAAAGCCUGACGGAGCAACGCCGCGUGAGGGACGAAGGCCUCUGGGCUGUAAACCUCUUUUCUCAAGGAAGAAGAUAUGACGGUACUUGAGGAAUAAGCCACGGCUAAUUCCGUGCCAGCAGCCGCGGUAAUACGGGAGUGGCAAGCGUUAUCCGGAAUUAUUGGGCGUAAAGCGUCCGCAGGCGGCCUUUCAAGUCUGCUGUUAAAGCGUGGAGCUUAACUCCAUUAUGGCAGUGGAAACUGAUAGGCUUGAGUAUGGUAGGGGCAGAGGGAAUUCCCGGUGUAGCGGUGAAAUGCGUUGAUAUCGGGAAGAACACCAGUGGCGAAGGCGCUCUGCUGGGCCAUUACUGACGCUCAUGGACGAAAGCCAGGGGAGCGAAAGGGAUUAGAUACCCCUGUAGUCCUGGCCGUAAACGAUGAACACUAGGUGUCGGGGGAAUCGACCCCUUCGGUGUCGUAGCUAACGCGUUAAGUGUUUCCGCCUGGGGAGUACGCACGCAAGUGUGAAACUCAAAGGAAUUGACGGGGGCCCGCACAAGCGGUGGAGUAUGUGGUUUUA